GUGCUUGCUGCAGCAGCACAUAUACUAAAAUUGGAACGAUGCAGGGAUUAGCAUGGCCCCUGCACAAGGAUGGCAUGCAAAUUCAUGAAGAACUCAAUGUCAUU
Molecule: small nuclear RNA, 104 nt
Organism: Mesocricetus auratus (golden hamster)
Lineage: Eukaryota; Metazoa; Chordata; Mammalia; Rodentia; Cricetidae
Source: Ensembl